GACCAAAGUCACCAAACCCUAAAUUUUCUUCAUCGCCAUCGGCCGUUCAUCUCUUCAAUCGGACAUCACUUCGCCUGAUUCGCCUCUCAUCGGACAUCACUUUCCGGCACUUCAUCGAACAUCACUUCGACAACAUCGGACAUCACUUCAAUCGGACAUCUCUUCAAUCGCCUCUCAACUCUUCAACAUCACUUCGACAUCAUCCGGCAUCACCAAAUUUCGUCAAAUGUGUCUCUUAGAUUGUAAGGAAUUGAGGCUUUUGAUGAAACAAGAGAAAGGAAGUCAGAUAUCGAGAUUUCUGAAGACGAAAGACGACAAUCCAAAAUUGGGGCCCUAAAAAAGAAGGCAAUAAAUGCUUCAAACAAGUUCACUCACUAAAGAAAAGGGGAAAAAGGAAAACUGAUUACAGGGUUCCUUCGGUUUCUAUAGAAGACGUACGCAAUGCAAACGGGGAGAAAGCAGUCCAUGAAUUGAGGCAAAAGCUUCUUGAUAGGGACUUACUGCCAUCUAGACAUGAUGACUAUCACACAUUGCUGAGUCUAGUAAUUUUAUUCUUUCAUUGUUUUAAAUCAUUGUCAAAUCUUUGCUGUUAGAUUUGGCAUGCUAAGAAACAUGAUGAGUAAUAUGGGAUCAUGGGAAUUUUCUAAAAAUGAACAUGAUCGAAUUUGGUUAUUAACCUAUAUAUUAACCUAUAUAUUAAAAACACAAGCGAUUGAACAGUAACAAUUA
This 729-nucleotide long non-coding RNA is filed under the name Helianthus annuus (common sunflower). Its description in RNAcentral is "hypothetical non coding rna". The record is from RNAcentral. Lineage: Eukaryota; Viridiplantae; Streptophyta; Magnoliopsida; Asterales; Asteraceae.